This 440-nucleotide ribosomal RNA is filed under the name uncultured bacterium. RNAcentral describes it as "partial 16S ribosomal RNA". It matches the Rfam family "Bacterial small subunit ribosomal RNA", at positions 338 to 795 of the family's 1533-position model. The record is from RNAcentral.
CCUACGGGAGGCAGCAGUGGGGAAUAUUGCACAAUGGGGGAAACCCUGAUGCAGCGACGCCGCGUGAGUGAAGAAGUAAUUCGUUAUGGAAAGCUCUAUCAGCAGGGGAGAAAAUGACGGUACGUGAGUAAGAAGCCCCGGCUAACUACGUGCCAGCAGCCGCGGUAAUACGUAGGGGGCCAGCGUUAUCCGGAUUUACUGGGUGUAAAGGGAGCGUAGACGGCAGUGCAAGUCUGGAGUGAAAGGCGGGGGCUCAACCCCCGGACUGCAGUGGAAACUGUACGGCUGGAGUGCAGGAGAGGUAGGUGGAAUUCGUAGUGUAGCGGUGAAAUGCGUAGAUAUUAGGAAGAACACCAAUGGCGAAGGCAGCUUACUGGAGUGUAACUGACGUUGAGGCUCGAAAGCGUGGGGAGCAAACAGGAUUAGAUACCCUGGUAGUC